GACGAACGCUGGCGGCGUGCUUAACACAUGCAAGUCGAACGGUAAGGCCCUUCGGGGUACACGAGUGGCGAACGGGUGAGUAACACGUGGGUGAUCUGCCCUGCACUUCGGGAUAAGCCUGGGAAACUGGGUCUAAUACCGGAUAGGACCACUGCCUGCAUGGGUGGUGGUGGAAAGCUUUUGCGGUGUGGGAUGGGCCCGCGGCCUAUCAGCCUGUUGGUGGGGUGAUGGCCUACCAAGGCGACGACGGGUAGCCGGCCUGAGAGGGUGACCGGCCACACUGGGACUGAGAUACGGCCCAGACUCCUACGGGAGGCAGCAGUGGGGAAUAUUACACAAUGGGCGCAAGCCUGAUGCAGCGACGCCGCGUGAGGGAUGACGGCCUUCGGGUUGUAAACCUCUUUCAGCACCGACGAAGCGCAAGUGACGGUAGGUGCAGAAGAAGGACCGGCCAACUACGUGCCAGCCGCCGCAGUAA
RNAcentral lists this ribosomal RNA (478 nucleotides) under uncultured bacterium. Its description in RNAcentral is "partial 16S ribosomal RNA". It matches the Rfam family "Bacterial small subunit ribosomal RNA", at positions 28 to 523 of the family's 1533-position model. The record is from RNAcentral.